This 253-nucleotide ribosomal RNA is filed under the name uncultured bacterium. RNAcentral describes it as "partial 16S ribosomal RNA". It matches the Rfam family "Bacterial small subunit ribosomal RNA", at positions 524 to 776 of the family's 1533-position model. The record is from RNAcentral.
UACGGGGGGGGCAAGCGUUGUUCGGAAUUACUGGGCGUAAAGAGUGCGUAGGCGGUUUUCUAAGUUUGGUGUGAAAUCUCCCGGCUUAACUGGGAGGGUGCGCCGAAGACUGGAAGGCUUGAGUAUGGGAGAGGUAAGCGGAAUUCCUGGUGUAGCGGUGAAAUGCGUAGAUAUCAGGAGGAACACCUGCGGUGUAGACGGCUUACUGGACCAUAACUGACGCUGAGGCACGAAAGCGUGGGUAGCAAACAGG